CUCUUUUGGAAACAGCAGCCAUGUUGAAUGCCCCCACCAGACUGGGUCUCUGACAUCCUGGAAUGUGAGCAUGGAUACUCAAGCCCAGCAGCUGAUUCUUCACUUCUCCUCAAGAAUGCAUGCCACCUUCAGUGCUGCCUGGAGCCACCCAGGCUUGGGGCAGGACACUUUGGUGCCCCCCGUGUACACUGUCAGCCAGGUAUGGCCUUGCCCCCACUAGGUCCUAUUGCUCAGAGCACAGCCCUCAAUUUCCUUGUGACCUCAUUGAGAUAGACCCUGGGAAGGUAGAAACAAACAAAUCCCUGACUUUUACCAUCUGGUUUACUUUAUUUACGUGAUCAGCCUCCGUUAGGUUCCUCAAGGGAGCAUUUUCUUUUUUUUCUUUUUUCUUUUCUUUUUUUUUU
This 404-nucleotide small RNA is filed under the name Pongo abelii (Sumatran orangutan). Its description in RNAcentral is "retained intron". Lineage: Eukaryota; Metazoa; Chordata; Mammalia; Primates; Hominidae. The record is from RNAcentral.